Molecule: RNA transcript, 2451 nt
Organism: Aegilops tauschii subsp. strangulata
Lineage: Eukaryota; Viridiplantae; Streptophyta; Magnoliopsida; Poales; Poaceae
Source: RefSeq, a predicted model, not a curated record
GGUUACCGACGUGCGGCCCAGAGCGACCCGUGUUCUCCUGUCGCUCGGCCCAGAACGGCCCGUUUAGGCGGGGGAGAAACCGGCCCGCACGAAUCUCGUUGUGCUGUGCUAGUUUCGCCCGACACUUCUCCCCUCGCGAUGGCGGCGUCUCCGGCGAGCGGCGGCCGCGGCAGGGCGCGCUCGUGCGAGACGGCGGAGCAGACCCGCGAGUGGAUGGAGGCCAUCGCCUCCUUCCUCGGGCGCCACCGCCCGCUCCUCGAGGCCCACGUCGUCAACUUCUUCAAGGAUAGGCUGUGGGAGAUGGUGGAUGCCGACUGGAUGGAGUGCCUCCGCCGGGAGCCCGUCGAGAGCCUGCUCAUGUUGCCUUCCGGCUGCGUCCAGGACCAUUGGCCAAGUUCACUACAGGAAUUUAUACUCACUGCGAGGUCGCUUGUUCUUCCACGUGAGCAAAAAUCGCCACAAUCCUUUUUACCUAAUUCGCGCGUCGCAUCAAUUGGUACUGUUCUUGCUCAAGGCAUGAACUCUAAGAAGAAGCACGAAAUUGAAGCCCUAUCUGGGAUCGUUGAUGCAAUUGCUAGGAGUCGUGGAGCCAAGACAGUGGUUGAUGUAGGUUCUGGUCAGGGUUAUCUUGCACAAGCUUUAUCCUUUGAGUACCAACUCGCCGUUAUAGCAAUAGAUGCUUCAUCACAUCAUGCUUCUGUUACAAAUACUCGUGCAGAGAGGAUAAAGAAGCACUAUGCUGCUAAAUGUGUAGAGAAGCAACAGUUCAAAGUGCCAAGAACUGUCACUUGUCAUGUUCUUUCUAGUGACACAUUGGCAGCUGUGACGUUGGAUGCAUGUCAAGAUGACCAUGGUGAACAUAUAACAGAAACUAACAACUGUAAUCAGAGUAUUCCUCAGAUUGAGCAACCAAAUCAUAGCAUUCCUCAAUUAGUCCUUGCUGGUCUUCAUGCCUGUGGUGAUCUUUCAGUUAACAUGCUAAGGGUUUUCGUGUCCUGUGAACAAGUACAAGCAUUGGUAAGUGUCGGAUGCUGUUACAACUUGUUGUCCGAGGAUACAGACACCUGCCCUGGUUUUCCUAUUAGCAAGGCUGCUAAAUCAUCUAAGCUGGUGCUUGGCAAAAGCAUCCGUGACCUAGCUUGCCAGAGCGCAGAAAGAUGGAGAAACCUCACCAAGGAAAUGGCCCUACAAAAUUUUGAUAUACAUGCCUUCCGAGCAGCUUUUCAAAUGGUACUUGAGAAAUAUUUCCCUGAAGUGUCAAGAUUGAGUCCAUCAAUUGGAAGGCAAGGAAAAGCACUGCGCCGUCAAAGGCUUCGAAAAGUUAUGGAAUCCCAUUUGGCUAUGGGGAAAGCUGAUGAUUUAUCCUAUCCUAAUUGCAAGGAACAAAACAUGAAUACAGAUGGUUCAUUGCCCACAGAACCAACUGCUCCUAAAGGGGCUGUCGAGUGUUGCAGCAACGAACUUUGUACAGGUGAUACUUACUCAACUUCAGCAGUUGUUGGUUCAUCCAUAUCAAGAGUUAACGUGGGACCAAGUGACACCAAUCUUGAUGAAUGUUGCAAGUUGACUCUUUUCAAAGAUUUCACAAUCUCUGGAUUAGGGCGUCUUGGCUGUGGUUUUGUGGAAGAUGUUAAUCUACUCGAAAUAUGGAAGGAUGUGCAACACUUCACCGAGUUCAUAGGUCCCUUUUGGUGCCUCCGGGCUGCUUUAGGUCCACUGGUGGAAACAUAUAUUUUACUUGAUCGGUUACUGUUUCUUCAAGAGCAAGGAAGUGCAGUUGAAGCAUCAUUGUUUCCUCUGUUUGAUCCCGCCAUGUCUCCAAGGAAUAUGGCACUAGUUGCUUGGAAGUUAACGGGUGAUCCUUUAGAACCAAGUCAUGAUAUGGGAAUGUACAAGAGAUUGCCCUCGAGCAGCGUGCCUUUAUCCAAUAAAUGCUAGGAUUUGUUCGCCCAUGGGCGUGAGAGCGACGCCGCCCUGUACUUCCGGCGAUGCAUCCGCGUCGACGUGGCCACCCAGAGCCGUCGCGACUCUUCCGUCCGCAGAUCCUUAUCCUGUUUUGUACACCCGGAGGUUCCCUGCAAGGCCGCCGGUCAAUUUGCUCCGCUUUUCACUGAUGCAGCCACCGUCUGAAAGUGCAGCUGCGUGCGCGCGAUGUUAGGCCGGCCGUGCGGAGCGGAGGAGAUGAGAUGAGGUAUGUGGUGAGGUUGCUGCUGUUGCUGUCACUGCCCAUUUCCAAGGUCCCUUUCACUUGGUGUGGAGCGGAGCAUCAAUUCCCCCAUUUACUGCUGCGAGGACAAUCAUCUAUCAUUCACUCAAGCCUCUGUCAAGGAGCUUGUUUAGCAUUUUGCCUUGUUGCAUAUUGAUGGAUCCACGGCACAUUAACAUUUCUGCAUCAGCGUGCUGGAUGCCAUCUUGUCACAGCCUUUUGACAGGCUUGACUUCCUCUCCAAA